RNAcentral lists this ribosomal RNA (804 nucleotides) under uncultured bacterium. RNAcentral's name for it is "bacterial SSU rRNA". It matches the Rfam family "Bacterial small subunit ribosomal RNA", at positions 1 to 806 of the family's 1533-position model. The record is from RNAcentral.
GCCCUUAGAGUUUGAUCCUGGCUCAAGAUGAACGCUGGCGGCGUGCCUAACACAUGCAAGUCGAGCGAAGCGCUAUACUUGAUUUCUUCGGAAGGAAAGUAUUGUGACUGAGCGGCGGACGGGUGAGUAACGCGUGGGUAACCUGCCUCAUACAGGGGGAUAACAGUUAGAAAUGACUGCUAAUACCGCAUAAGACCACAGCACCGCAUGGUGCGGGGGUAAAAACUCCGGUGGUAUGAGAUGGACCCGCGUCUGAUUAGCUAGUUGGUAAGGUAAGGGCUUACCAAGGCGACGAUCAGUAGCCGACCUGAGAGGGUGACCGGCCACAUUGGGACUGAGACACGGCCCAAACUCCUACGGGAGGCAGCAGUGGGGAAUAUUGCACAAUGGGGGAAACCCUGAUGCAGCGACGCCGCGUGAGUGAUGAAGUAUUUCGGUAUGUAAAGCUCUAUCAGCAGGGAAGAAAAUGACGGUACCUGACUAAGAAGCACCGGCUAAAUACGUGCCAGCAGCCGCGGUAAUACGUAUGGUGCAAGCGUUAUCCGGAUUUACUGGGUGUAAAGGGAGCGUAGACGGAGAGGCAAGUCUGAUGUGAAAACCCGGGGCUCAACCCCGGGACUGCAUUGGAAACUGUUUUUCUAGAGUGUCGGAGAGGCAAGUGGAAUUCCUAGUGUAGCGGUGAAAUGCGUAGAUAUUAGGAGGAACACCAGUGGCGAAGGCGGCUUGCUGGACGAUGACUGACGUUGAGGCUCGAAAGCGUGGGGAGCAAACAGGAUUAGAUACCCUGGUAGUCCACGCCGUAAA